Camellia sinensis is the source of this 340-nucleotide non-coding RNA. NCBI's taxonomy places the organism in Eukaryota, Viridiplantae, Streptophyta, Magnoliopsida, Ericales, Theaceae. The record is from RefSeq and is a predicted model, not a curated record.
UGCUGUAUAUGUUGUUCUGCUCUGCUAAUCUGGUGUAUCUGUAAUUAUCUACUCUGUUUUAGGUUAGAUUUGUUCAACAAAGAUUGGAUUCUACUCUCAUCUAUUCAUUUUAGGCCCUGAUUCUUGAAAUCAAGUGAUUAUUAAGGUCCCCAUGGAUCAUACCAAUUCAAAGAUAGGAACAGAUGCACCACCAAGCAGUACUCCAAACUGGACAAUUAACAUUUCAGAUGUAAGAACAGUUAAAGUCAGUAAUAUCUCACUAGCUACCUCUGAGAAGGAUAUUAAGGAAUUCUUCUCUUUUUCUGGUGAUAUCCAGUAUGUUGAAAUGCAAAGGUCAACU